This 301-nucleotide ribosomal RNA is filed under the name uncultured bacterium. RNAcentral describes it as "partial 16S ribosomal RNA". It matches the Rfam family "Bacterial small subunit ribosomal RNA", at positions 509 to 809 of the family's 1533-position model. The record is from RNAcentral.
CAGCCGCCGCGGGAAUACGUAGGGUGCAAGCGUUAAUCGGAAUUACUGGGCGUAAAGCGUGCGCAGGCGGUUAUAUAAGACAGAUGUGAAAUCCCCGGGCUCAACCUGGGAACUGCAUUUGUGACUGUAUAGCUAGAGUACGGCAGAGGGGGAUGGAAUUCCGCGUGUAGCAGUGAAAUGCGUAGAUAUGCGGAGGAACACCGAUGGCGAAGGCAAUCCCCUGGGCCUGUACUGACGCUCAUGCACGAAAGCGUGGGGAGCAAACAGGAUUAGAUACCCCAGUAGUCCCUGUCUCUUAUAU